Molecule: ribosomal RNA, 386 nt
Filed under: uncultured bacterium
Lineage: Bacteria
Description: bacterial SSU rRNA
Rfam family: Bacterial small subunit ribosomal RNA
Source: RNAcentral
AUUGAACGCUGGCGGCAUGCCUUACACAUGCAAGUCGAACGGCAGCACGGGGGCAACCCUGGUGGCGAGUGGCGAACGGGUGAGUAACAUAUCGGAACAUACCCUAGAGUGGGGGAUAACGUAGCGAAAGUUACGCUAAUACCGCAUACGAUCUAAGGAUGAAAGUGGGGGAUCUUCGGACCUCAUGCUCAUGGAGUGGCCGAUAUCUGAUUAGCUAGUUGGUGAGGUAAAGGCUCACCAAGGCGACGAUCAGUAGCUGGUUUGAGAGAACGACCAGCCACACUGGAACUGAGACACGGUCCAGACUCCUACGGGAGGCAGCAGUGGGGAAUUUUGGACAAUGGGGGCAACCCUGAUCCAGCAAUGCCGCGUGAGUGAAGAAGGCC